AAUCAGGAGGUGAUGAGGCUGCAAAGA
RNAcentral lists this non-coding RNA (27 nucleotides) under Homo sapiens (human). The record is from RNAcentral. Lineage: Eukaryota; Metazoa; Chordata; Mammalia; Primates; Hominidae.